This 783-nucleotide ribosomal RNA is filed under the name uncultured bacterium. RNAcentral's name for it is "partial 16S ribosomal RNA". It matches the Rfam family "Bacterial small subunit ribosomal RNA", at positions 8 to 796 of the family's 1533-position model. The record is from RNAcentral.
AGAGUUUGAUCCUGGCUCAGGAUGAACGCUGGCAGUAUACUUUACACAUGCUAGUUUAUGGUUUUAAACCCAUGGCGUACGGGUGAGUAAUACACAAGAAUUUGCUUUAAAAAAAAGAAAAAAGCGUAUCUUAUUUUUAACAUAAAAAAAAUAAGAGAAUGCUUCCGAGCAGCGCUAAUACUAUUAAGAAUAAUUUCGUUUUAAAAUAAGCUUGUGCAGGAUUAGGUAGUUGGUGAGGUAAUUGCUUACAAAGCCUACGAUCCUUAGUUGAUUUGAGAGAAUGGUCAGCCACACUGAGACUGAGAUAAGGCUCAGGCUUUUAGCCAGCAGUGAGGAAUUUUGGACAAUGGGCGAAAGCCUGAUCUGGUAAUACUGCGUGAAUGAUGAAGGUAUAAAAGGCUUAUAAUUUUUUUUAAAAUUGUAAGCCGGCCGUAAAGUUCGAGAUGUAAAAAAAAUUAUGAUUAAUUACAAAAAGUCCCGGCUAACUUCGUGCCAGCAGCCGCGGUAAUACGGAGGGGGCAAGCGUUAUCCGGAAUUAUUGGGCGUAAAGGGUUCGUAGAUGGUUAAAUGAUAUUUUUUGUUAAAUAUUGGAAGAAACUUCAAAAAUGCUUAAAAUAAAACUUUACACUUGAGUUUAAUAGAAGAUAACAGAACUUCAUACAUAGGAGUAAAAUCCAAUAAUUUAUGAAAGAAUGCCGAAGGCGAUAGCAGUUAUCUAUGUUAAUACUGACAUUGAGGAACGAAAGCAUAGGGAGCAAACAGGAUUAGAUACCCCAGUAGUCC